This 294-nucleotide ribosomal RNA is filed under the name uncultured bacterium. Its description in RNAcentral is "partial 16S ribosomal RNA". It matches the Rfam family "Bacterial small subunit ribosomal RNA", at positions 333 to 629 of the family's 1533-position model. The record is from RNAcentral.
UGACCCUACGGGAGGCAGCAGUGGGGGAUAUUGCACAAUGGGGGAAACCCUGAUGCAGCGACGCCGCGUGAGUGAAGAAGUAUUUCGGUAUGUAAAGCUCUAUCGGCAGGGAAGAAAAAGCGCGCGAGCGCCCUUGACAGUACCUGACUAAGAAGCCCCGGCUAACUACGUGCCAGCAGCCGCGGUAAUACGUAGGGGGCAAGCGUUAUCCGGAUUUACUUGGUGUAAAGGGAGCGUAGGCGGCCCUGCAAGUCAGCAGUGAAAACCCGGGGCUCAACCCUGGGGGUGCUUUUG